This 5078-nucleotide long non-coding RNA is filed under the name Callithrix jacchus (white-tufted-ear marmoset). RNAcentral's name for it is "lncRNA (ENSCJAG00000081264.1)". The record is from RNAcentral. Lineage: Eukaryota; Metazoa; Chordata; Mammalia; Primates; Cebidae.
AUGUGUUUUUUUCUUUUGAGAAGGAGUCUCAAUCUGUCACCCAGGUUGGAAUGGAGUGACAUGAACUCAGCUCACUGCAACCUCUGCCUCACGGGUUCAAGCAAUUUUCCUGCUUCAGCCUCCCAAGUAGCUGAGACUACAGGGUCACCUUCCUACUCCUUCCACUGUCUUCACAGCAUUCUAAAACUGAUCAUUCUGCCUCCCUCUUUAUCUUUUAAAGGGACAUGGAUGAACCUGGAAACCAUCAUUCUCAGCAAACUGACACAAGAACAGAAAAUCAAACACAGCAUGUUCUCACUCAUAGAUGGGUGUUGAACAAUGAGAACACAUGAACACAGUGAGAAAACAUAAUGAUUUACACAAGUAACAAAGAAGUUUCCAGAUGGUGUUUCAUAUGGAUGUUCAGAUGAAGAAACUAAAACUUUUAUAUUUCAUGAAUAUUAAUGAGAUAAAGAAAUAAAUAUAAUUAUAGUUUUUUUGACAUCAAUAAUUGGGUCAAUUUGUAGAAAAUCGAUUUUCUCUGUGUUUUUUUUUUUGUACUAAGCAAAAUAUUAUACCUGUGUUAUUUAACAUUUAUGUAUCUACCAAGAUCUACUUUUCUAGGUCUUAGUGGUCUUAAGGAUAAUAAAUAAUAUUAUAUUCUGCUUUGUAUUUUCUCUUAUAUUAAAUCCACACAUUUAGUUGAGCAAAAUGGUAAAACACCUUUAAAACCUCCAUAGUUCUAAAGCAUUUGGGAAAAAUCCAAUACAAUCAUUCUUAAGUACUUGUAGUAUUGGAAAUAACUACAAAAUACAUAUUAAAUGUAUCAGUUAAAUACAUAUUAAAUAUAAACAUAAAAUAUACAUGUAUAAAUUUAAAUAUAUACAACUGUCCAAGAUUAUACAGCAGUUCUCUCUUGAUUAAUGUCGAAUUUUCAGAUAUUCUGGGCUAUACUAAUAAGGAGUUGAGCAAAAUAUUAAGCAAAGCCAUAAUAGUCUUGCAUAGAAUUCAAUAGGAAAAAGCUCACUGAGAAAUAAAAGAUUCAUAAGUUUGACUUGGGCAUACGUAUGUAUUUAAAAAAUAAAUUGAAAAUUAAGCCCCAUGAACUCCAGAGAUAGAAUAGAAAAUUUGUACCUCCAAGUGGCCAAGCUUUAUUGUUCUAUGAUGUCUAGUUCUAGUCCUUGCAGAUACUUUCAAUUAUUAGGCCACCAGUUGCAGACUUUGAUCCAUUCCAGCCUAUGAAUAUUUUUUUUGUUUUGUCAGAGUGAAUUUCAUUCAGUAGUUCUAUACCUUGCUAUUAAAUUCACAAAACUAAUUGAAAUUUUUCAUCAUUAAAUGAUAUGGUAACCCUAUGGCCACCUUUUUGCAUUUUUGUUAAGUUUUAGUAAACAAACCAACUUCUUAUUUUCUAGUAUCUUACCCUAAUUGGCAAACUGUUGCUCUCUUCAUGCAAUCUUCCUUUGUAUAAAUGAGUCAUCACCUGAUGUCCAGUUAAGCUGCUUCCCACCCUUGAAUCACUACAAUUCUCUCAUGCUGAGAACCUACUGCUUUAGAUAUCUGAUUGUACCUGGCUUUAGAGUUCCAAAAUGCUCUAUCUGUUGUGAUUCCCUACUCUUUCCUAAUAAGUAAAGUUUUACUAUUGGCUUUCUCUGAAUCGUGAUCAUAUAUUCUGCAGCUCUUCCUUAAUUUUCCUAAUCUCUACCCAACAAAACCCUUGUUCUAAGUCUAUUAGAUGGGAAGAAGAAAGGAGAAGAAGUUUUCACUUUUCCCUUGUUUAGGGUCGUUUUUUCCCACUUAAAACAGAAGAAACCAUAUUUCCACUUAUUUGUGAGUAAACACAAAAGAGACAAAGAAUAAGCUCUGGCUCUUCAAUUUCCACUCUUUCAGAUGUAAUGUGACUAUAUUCCAAAUCUGAGUCACAUCUAAUUAAUUUCUGCUAUCCUCUUUUCACUCACAAAAGUGUUCCAAUUUGAGAGAGAAAAUAUAUAACCUUAACCAGAGGUGUGGAAGUAAGAUAAUGAAAAGAAAAAAUAAUUUCUGAGGCUAUAAUUAGAAAAGAAGCAGAUUAAAAUGAAUGUAAACAUCAUAAGAAGUGUGCUUGGAAGUGGCUAACCAUAGAAAAUUCCUAGUAUGUACUUAUAGUUCUCCCAGUUUCCUUGAAAUGAGACAAAGUCCAAAGAAGAUCAAAUUAUGGUAACAAAAUAUAGUUAUCCAAGGAAAUAAAGACUAAGAGAAGGAAGACAAAAGAAUAUGAUCUUGAAUAUUAUGAGAAUAGAGAUGCAACUAAUGAGGAAAAGGAAGUAAAAAUAAAGAAACUGUUUGCAGAAAAGGAUUGUCUUUUAGAAAUUGGAGAAAUUAUUCAAAAUGCAAUUAAAGGACAGAAAAGUAAAACCUAGGAAGGACAUUGAAAGAGUUGAAGGGAUUUUAUUAGCAAAGGAAAUUUUAGUGGGAAAAUAAUAUAUUUAAGAUAAUUCUACAACAAUAAGAUGAUACUCAAUUUGAGCUUUUAAUUUUUAUAUUAAGGUAAUACUGCAUUUUAGUUUAAAUAUCUCACCAAUAAAAUGCAUUUAAAUUUUAUUUUUAAUAGUAAUUUUUACGUAUAAACAUGUUUAUUUUUCUACAGGUUUAUUAGAAAUAUGACCAAAGGCAAGAAAUUUUUUAAAAAUGUGCAGUAUCAGCUUAAAGAGAUACAUUGAAUUGUCAGUGUUUCAGAGGACAAAAAACAAUCUCUGCAACAAAACAGGCCAAAAGAAAACAACAACAUUUAAUAAUUAAGUCAGAGACUUUCAGGAAAAUCCACAUUUUAUUUAGGAGAAAAACAUAUAUUAAGAGAGUAAGGCUACUAAAAAGGGAAGAAGAAAAUUUAGGAUUAUUGAAAAAUGUUUGCAUAGAGGGAAGAGGGUGGGUGGGAGAAACUUCUGACAAUUAAAAUAUUUACUUUGAUAGACUUAAUGAUAAUGUAAUCAGAAGGGAAUAAAGUAAUUAUGGAACAAAAAUUAAGAAUGUAAUAUGACUUUUAUAUAGCUUUAUAAUAAAUUUGUUUUUAAAAUUUUUAAAUAAAAAUAUACUUCUCAUAUAUACAUGUACAUGUAAAAAACAAAAUGUGAAACAAUUUAUUCUGUGAAAACUCUAAAAAUUAUGUGGUGGCAGAUCAAUGGUAUCAAAUUUAUCACAUCAUCAUCUAAAUAUAUCCUCUAAGAAAGAAACUCUAAAUCAUGGUUUUAUUGAAUUUGAGUUCAUAGAUAUAUCUCAUGGUGUCUUACAGUAAUUACUGAAUUUGUGAAGAUACUAAAAGAGCUUAUGUCAUUUAUUUUCUGAUUAAAUUUACAGAAAAUCAAUUCAAGAUAGUUUAUAAUUAUGCAGACUGCUAAUGCUAAAUGGAUACAUAGAAAAACAAUUCAAUAAAAGAAUGAGACAUGAUUUGUGUAAUUACAGUGGCCCAUUGAACAUUUAAAGUUUAAAAUGAUUAUCAAGAGUGGGCAAAUUCACGAGUCCACAAGAUUGGUGUACUAUAGAAGUACAGAAAGGAAUAGGCUUCAUAAAGACAGUGUUCCAUAAUGGAUGUUCUCUAAUGGAUGCUAUUUACCUAAUAUACCAGCAUGACUUUGUACUACCUGUCAAAUCUCUAUUUUUGAUUGUGAAGCAUCAUUAUUGUUACUAGAAUAAGAACCCACCCAGGAAAAUUUAUAUAAGUGGCUAUAGGAAUAGAAGUAAAAUCUUAACCAAAAUAACUAAAAUUCAAUGCAGAAAAUAUAUAUUUAUUAGCAUCUAACUUCUGUUUUCUCAUGGAUUUAUCAACCAUCCGGUUGAUGCUUUAUAGUUAGAACAAAUUACUUAAUAAAAAGCCUGUCAAGAAGGGAGUCACUUCUGCUUUUUGUUUGGUCUGAAAGUUCUAUGUGGCUAUUUCUGCAUGUUCACUGCCUGUCUCUUAUUUUAUAUUUAAAAAUAUUCCAUUUUAGGGUCUAGAAGCAGAUUUUAGAGGCAAUGAGAAAUGAGAAAACAAAAGGAAGCCGCCUUUUAUCUCUGUCCCCUUUCACUCUGUCCAGUCCCACCCAUGGCAUGCACCCUAAUAUAUGCCAGAGAAAAAGUGUUAAAGUAUAGGCUUCUGAAAUAACUGAGGUCCUCAGUUUACCUUGGUGAAAAUAAUUCUACAGGCUCAGGAGAUAAGAGAUGUUAUAUGCUCUCUAAAACAUUUUUUAGUAGUAAAAUGUAGAAUGAGAGAAGUAAAAUAAUUCCAUAUGACAAUCCACUUUCCAAGUUAUAGUCUUUAAGAUGGUGUCUGAAUUAAUAGUAUCUUGGCAUUUCCUGUUGUCUAUUUCCUCAGCCAAGAAAUUAAUGUUAGGAGGUUAAAAAAAGACAUGGUUAAAAGUAUAAACAUAUACAGAACAAAUUUAUGUAUUUUUAGGUUAUCACAAAAUUUUAUAAAGAAAAAUAAGGGAAAGCUAAAAAAUACACUUACUAUUUGAGGAGAAAAAUAUUGCUGCAUAAGGUAGGCACUGCGAUGGCAACUGAAGAAACGUUUUCUGGUACAAGUUAUACAUCCCAAAUAAUAGUUUAUUUUUCCCAUAGUAAACAAAUCAUCUGCAUUUAUAAACAGGAGGACAGGAUAUUUAUACCUUAUAUAUAAUAAGAGAAGUUUACAUGAAGAAUAGCAUUUGUUUGAUUUAUGUUUACUAAGAAAACUUUUUUUUUUUUUUUUUUUUUUUCGAGACGGAGUUUCGCUCUUGUUACCCAGGCUGGAGUGCAAUGGCGCGAUCUCGGCUCACCGCAACCUCCGCCUCCUGGGUUCAGGCAACUCUCCUGCCUCAGCCUCCCGAGUAGCUGGGAUUACAGGCACGCGCCACCAUGCCCAGCUAAUUUUUUGUAUUUUUAGUAGAGAUGCGGUUUCACCAUGUUGACCAGGAUGGUCUCAAUCCCUUGACCUCGUGAUCCGCCCGCCUCGGCCUCCCAAAGUGCUAGGAUUAAAGGCGUGAGCCACCGCGCCCGGCCACUAAGAAAACUUUUAACAAAUCUGCCUUUAUCUCAAGAUCAGAAAUCUCUCUAAACAUGAUCUGUAGAUUUUACAUAUAUAUAUAUAUAUAUAUAUAUUUACAUAUAUA